RNAcentral lists this ribosomal RNA (728 nucleotides) under uncultured marine bacterium. RNAcentral describes it as "bacterial SSU rRNA". It matches the Rfam family "Bacterial small subunit ribosomal RNA", at positions 97 to 862 of the family's 1533-position model. The record is from RNAcentral.
GGCAAACGGGUGAGUAUAAUGUAGGAAUCUACCUUUUGGUUUGGAAUAACACGGGGAAACUUGUGCUAAUACCGAAUAAGCCUUUACCGGGAAAGUUUUAACGCCGAAAGAUGAGCCUGCACUUGAUUAGCUAGUUGGUAAGGUAAAAGCUUACCAAGGCAACGAUCAAUAGCUGUUCUUAGAGGAAGACCAGCCACAUUGGGACUGAGACACGGCCCAGACUCCUACGGGAGGCAGCAGUGGGGAAUCUUGCACAAUGGGGGAAACCCUGAUGCAGCGAUGCCGCGUGAGUGAAGAAGGCCCUUGGGUUGUAAAACUCUUUCGUCGGGGAAGAAAAUGACUGUACCCGAAUAAGAAGGUCCGGCUAACUUCGUGCCAGCAGCCGCGGUAAUACGAAGGGACCUAGCGUAGUUCGGAAUUACUGGGCUUAAAGAGCUCGUAGGUGGUUAAAAAAGUUGAUGGUGAAAUCCCAAGGCUCAACCUUGGAACUGCCACCAAAACUUUUUAGCUAGAGUGUGAUAGAGGUAAGUGGAAUUUCUAGUGUAGAGGUGAAAUUCGUAGAUAUUAGAAAGAACACCAAAUGCGAAGGCAACUUACUGGGUCACAACUGACACUGAGGAGCGAAAGCAUGGGUAGCGAAGAGGAUUAGAUACCCUCGUAGUCCAUGCCGUAAACGAUGUGUGCUAGACGUUGGAAAUAUAUUUUUCAGUGUCGCAGCGAAAGCGUUA